UAUAAAGCAGUGUUUGGGCACAAAGAGCUUUGAUUUCUUUAGUGAGACGCAAUUUCUCCUUUAUAG
This 66-nucleotide transfer RNA is filed under the name Desmaulus extinctorium. Its description in RNAcentral is "tRNA-Gln". The record is from RNAcentral. Lineage: Eukaryota; Metazoa; Mollusca; Gastropoda; Littorinimorpha; Calyptraeidae.